This 207-nucleotide ribosomal RNA is filed under the name uncultured bacterium. RNAcentral's name for it is "partial 16S ribosomal RNA". It matches the Rfam family "Bacterial small subunit ribosomal RNA", at positions 568 to 774 of the family's 1533-position model. The record is from RNAcentral.
CGCGUAGGCGGUUUGGAAAGUCAGAUGUGAAAUUCCGGGGCUCAACCCCGGAGCUGCAUUUGAAACUUCCGAGCUAGAGUUUAGUUAGGGAAAACGGAAUUCCACGUGUAGCGGUGAAAUGCGUAGAUAUGUGGAAGAACACCGGUGGUGAAGACGGUUUUCUGGGCUAACACUGACGCUGAGGCGCGAAAGCAAGGGGAGCAAACA